GGAGUGUUUACUUAAUUUUACAAGGAUAAAAGAAACUAUUCAAGGUUAACACAAUGCAGACCAAACUGAAGAGCGUUAUGUAGAAAGCCAAUUUGAAUAACGCAGAAAACACAACUCAUUCUCAAAGCUGUCGAAAGUCUCUGGGCACAUCGGGUAAAGGCUAAGAGGUUGAGCUUUCCCCCUUGGAGCCUUGUGUUCAUUGGGAAGAUUCUCCUUCGAGGGAAUCAUUUUAUAAUGUAGUAAUUGAGUAGUAAGAGAGAAAUGUCUUGCUAAAAGCAGUCAAGUAAGUGGUCGAGUAGCAGAUCUUCAUCUGUUAUCAGAUGAAUCUCUUAAAAAGGCCUGUGUAAUACUCAGCAACAGGGUCCCGCUAUUGUGUUUGGGAGAAUAAACUUAUUUCAAGCACAAAGAUUCCUCCUUCCUCUUUUAAAAUCUCUGUUUUCCGUGCUCCUCCCCACUUUGAGGGAAGUGAUACACUAAAAUUAAGUGAUGGCUUAUUAUCGUGGUUAACCAGUCUGUCUUGAAUUUGCAGCCUGAGCUGACCAGCGCUUAUCCUCAUGUGACCUUGGGUGAAUUGAUGGACAUCUCUGAACCUCCAUUUUCUCCUGUGUAAAUUAGCAGCUGCUGCAAAAAUAUCGAUAAUCUCUGAAAAGAGUUUUGCUCAGUGUUUGGUGAAGAUUGCCUCUCCUGAUGUCUAGAAAAGGGCUGGUUUGUUUGGAAGGCUGUGCUGCGUGGCAAGAAGAGAAUAAACAUCUUGGGAAUUCUGGCUGUGCUGUGUAUUUGCUGUGUGGCCUUGGGCAAGCUACUGACUUCUCUGAAUUCAGGAUCUACAAACUGAGGAUAAGUAACAUGAGAAUCUCUGUGAAGUACUUUAAAAACAGGAGAUGUUUGGUAAAUGUGCAGUCACUUUCAUGACUCUUCAAGUUUCUUUUGAAAUUUCUGACAAUGCCGGGCGCAGUGGCUCAUGCCUGUAAUCCCAGCACUUUGGGAGGCUGAGGCAGAGAAUUGCUUGAACCUGGGAGGCAGAGGUUGCAGUGAGCCGAGAUUGCACCACUGCACUCCAGCCUGGGUGACAGAGUGAAACACGUCUCAAAAAAAAAAAGAAAAAAAAAUCUGAAAAUACAUAUAUGGGGGAUUAAUUGCACAUGUGCUGUUUUACAUCCAUUAUUCUAUUUAAUCCUUACACCAGCCCUUUGAAGUGUCUACGAUUAGUGUUAUUGCCCUUUUACUGAUAAUAAACUCAAGCUCUGGAGGGUUAAGUGUAAGUGGUUCAAGCUCAUAUAGUGCCAGAGAGUGAAGAUGUAAAUUCGCCCACCCCAUCAGCAGAGAGCCCCGUGCUCGUUACCACCAUAUUAUUCGUGAACAUUUGACAUCAGCUGGGACUUUUUGCCCAGGAAAUUAC
RNAcentral lists this long non-coding RNA (1399 nucleotides) under Macaca mulatta (Rhesus monkey). RNAcentral's name for it is "lncRNA (ENSMMUG00000060906.1)". The record is from RNAcentral. Lineage: Eukaryota; Metazoa; Chordata; Mammalia; Primates; Cercopithecidae.